UAGGGAAUCUUCGGCAAUGGACGAAAGUCUGACCGAGCAACGCCGCGUGAGUGAAGAAGGUUUUCGGAUCGUAAAACUCUGUUGUUAGAGAAGAACAAGGACGUUAGUAACUGAACGUCCCCUGACGGUAUCUAACCAGAAAGCCACGGCUAACUACGUGCCAGCAGCCGCCGUAAUUCGUAGGUGGCAGGCGUUGUCCGGAUUUAUUGGGCGUAAAGCGAGCGCAGGCGGUUUCUUAAGUCUGAUGUGAAAGCCCCCGGCUCAACCGGGGAGGAUCAUUGGAAACAGGGAGACUUGAGUGCAGAAGAGGAGAGUGGAAUUCCAUGUGUAGCGGUGAAAUGCGUAGAUAUAUGGAGGAACACCAGUGGCGAAGGCGGCUCUCUGGUCUGUAACAGACGCUGAGGCUCGAAAGCGUGGGGAGCAAACAGG
RNAcentral lists this ribosomal RNA (429 nucleotides) under Chloroflexota bacterium. Its description in RNAcentral is "Chloroflexi bacterium partial 16S ribosomal RNA". It matches the Rfam family "Bacterial small subunit ribosomal RNA", at positions 355 to 776 of the family's 1533-position model. The record is from RNAcentral. Lineage: Bacteria; Bacillati; Chloroflexota.